UUCUAUUUACAUGCCACUGGGUCACAGUACUGCGACAGACUGGCGACCUGUCCAGGGUGACCCGCCUCUCGCCCGGAACGAUAGCUGGAGAUUGGCACCAGCGCCUCCCGACCCCACGAAGGGACAAGGGUGCACAGAAAAUAGAUGGAUGGAAUUAAUAUUAGUGAAAAAG
This is a long non-coding RNA of Poecilia latipinna (sailfin molly), 172 nucleotides long. RefSeq lists it as uncharacterized. The transcript is spliced from 3 exons. NCBI's taxonomy places the organism in Eukaryota, Metazoa, Chordata, Actinopteri, Cyprinodontiformes, Poeciliidae. The record is from RefSeq and is a predicted model, not a curated record.